UUAUUUCUCAAAAAUCAUCAUGAAAUCUCCAAUGAGUAAGAAUAAAGAAUGAAAUGUACAUAAAUAUACACAAAACAAAAAUUAUCCAAAAAAUUUUAUUGUUGAAAAAGUUUGAAACAAAAUUGCUCAAUCAAAUAUGAUACAAAUGAGAAGAGAGAAACUCGUAAAGAGCUCAACACAUACACUUUUUGUCUCCUUUUCUUUUGGAACAAAAUGUAUUAACAAAUCAAAUAAAUAGAAUUUCCCCUUUAUGCUUUCGCGGCAAUGUCUACCUAAAAAUCAAGUAAUACUUGUAAUCUUCAAGCUUUAUUGGAUCAAAAUUAUCAGAUAUAGAAGAAUAUUCUCGCCUUAUUGAAACAUUUUUAUAAAUGCAGGGGGAGGGGAAAACAAAAAGAAAAAUACCCAGAGUCAGUAAGUAAGAAUAAAAAAAAUCGGUAUGCAUGUCCUAUGGGGGAACCCUUUUUAUGCCAAGGGUAAGCCUAGCAUGAAAAUGCAAUCCUCUAGGGAAGCACUAUACCAUACCUGACGGAUCUGAUCAACUCAUUGAGUGAAAAAUAAUUUGAAAAAUUUGGCCAUUGGAGUGGCAAGAGAUUUGUCAAAAUGAGGACAACGUCCGAAUAGAUUGAUCACCUUUGAUUUGCAAAACGCAUGGGUUUGACCUUGACGAACUCCUAUCGAAGAGAUUGGAAUUCGUUGAUAAAAUUUCUCAGUGAAUUACGGGUCAAAAACCCUAAUUGAUCAAGUGAUUGGAUGCAAUGGACGGUUUUCUUCAAAAUUGACUAGAUUUCCCAAUUUGGAAUUCGACAUUGAAAUCCUAAUUGGUCAAAUGAAAUUGACAAUUUAUUGAAAAUCGACCGGAUUACCCUAGAAGGGAAACAGGUCAAAAACGGCUCGGUUGCCCUAAAAAAAGGUAAAUUGGCCAAAUGAAUGAAAUUGAAUUAGUGACUUGUUCAAAAAUCGGCCGAACGACCCUAAAAAGGGUAAAUCGGUCAAAUGAAUUGAUGAUUUAUUCAAAAUCGACCGGAUGACCCUAAAAAGGGUAAAUUGGUCAAAUGAAUUGACGAUUUAUUCAAAAUCGACCAGGUGACCCUAAAAAGGGUAAAUUGAUCAAAUGAAUUGAUGAUUUAUUGAAAAUCGACCAGGUGACCCUAAAAAGGGUAAAUUGGUCAAAUGAAUUGACGAUUUAUUCAAAAUCGACCGGAUGACCCUAAAAAGGGUAAAUUGAUCAAAUGAAUUGAUGAUUUAUUGAAUGAAUGGGUAAAAUGGAUUGGUUGUGUCGCGCCCCACUUUUUGAAAAAUAAGUGUGAAUGUGUGAUGGUGUGUGAGUGUGUGUGAUAUACAUGUGAACGUGUGCGGAAUGAAAAGUAAAAGGCCAUGGGACUUAGAAUGCGACGAUUUGGCCAAGUGAAGUUCAAAAGGGUUUUGGUAUCAAAAAAUGGAGUCGCCACUUGGUAUAGAGUUAGGGUGUACCAAGUCACCCAAAAAUGAUUUUUGUUUUUGAAUAAAAAAAAGUAAAUAAACCCUUUUUGAGAACUUUUGGGUCUGCGUAACCAAAAGAGGGAUCGGGGGUCACAUUUGACGAAGGGGAAGGCAAGGAUAAAAAUCCAAGGCACCCCUUCGACCUAGCCAAGGCUAGUUGCGUGACUUAAACCAAUUUUCCUAAUUUUUCUACCCAAUGUAUGUUCGCACGUUGGAUAUGACUAUAUGAAUGCAAAACGGAAAGGAAAAUGCAAUCCUAAAUUCUACGAUGUCUUUCGUGAGGCUUUUGGUCCCAAACCACAUGAAUUGUGGCGGCCAACAAAGGAAAACCCCCAUAGAGGUCGAUUAAUGCAAAUGAGACUCAAAUGUGCAAGUGUGGAAGUGUAUGAAAGAAAUUAAAAAUCCAAGUGUUUGUGUGCAAGUGUAUGAAAAGGUGCACGUGUGCAAUUGUAUGAAAAUUCCAAGUGUUUGUGUGCAAGUGUAUGAAAAGGUGCACGUGUGCAAUUGUAUGAAAAUUCCAAGUGUUUGUGUGCAAGUGUAUGAAAUAUAGUGAUAAGUGCAUAUAGGUGUAAUUAAAUGCAAUUUUGUGAAGUAGAAAUCAAAAUGAACAACAAGGAAAGGAAAAUGUGAAUUGAAAAGAAUGAGUGAGUGAUAAAUGAGAAUGAAUGAACCUAAGGGAAUGCAUCAGGUCGGGUAUGGGAAUGACUCCUAACUUGUCGACUUCGAUUUUCCCUUUGAUUAGAAGGUAAAACUAGCGUGCUAAGGCUAUCGAGUAGCCACACUCGCUCGUUUCCCUUAUCAGAAGGGGACCUUCAAGCAAAUGGACCCUACAACUAUCAUGAUAUGCAAAAAUCCUAAAAUGAAGGGAAAGGGGGUUCGAGGAGCAUGCCAAGUGAUAAAACUAAGAAAAAUGCAUGAUAUGUGGUGAACAAGCAAAUGAUAUGCUAAUGAGGGGAAAUCCCUAAGGGUCUAGCGUUGGACUAGCCCAUUCUAUGAAUUCCGACUAGCGUUGGACUAGCCCAUUCUAUGAAUUCCGACUAGCGUUGGACUAGCGGAAACGUACAUUCAUCCAUUCCAUUCAUUCAUGGCUAUGAAAGCAAGUAGACAUGCCAAAAUACUCGUAAACACAUAGCACAUAGCAUUUAGCAUGCUCGACUAGAUGCAAGAGCCUAAUAAAGCAAUUAAACAUGUAGCAACAAAAACAAGCAAGCAAGGGGAAGGGGAAGUGGACCAGAUGCUCUCCGAGCCCUAUCUAUUACAAGCCAAGAGGUGUACACAUACCCCAUAAAAGCAUAAAGGGGAAGGGGAAGUGGACCAGAUGCUCUCCGAGCACUAUCUAUUACAAGCCAAGAGGUGUACACAUACCCCAUAAAACUUAAAUAAAAGUAAGGCAAGUAAAUGCACGCAAGGAGGUAAGGAAAGCGAAGUAGACAGGCAUAUUCACAUAACACAUAAGGUCACAUAGGAUCAAAUGAAGUGCAAAUGAGGGAUAGAGUGUACCUCCCUUGGAAUGGAGUCCAAAUGAAGUGAAAUUAUUCAAUUACCCUCCAAAAUAAUAAAAAGGUCAUGGCACCACUUUAUUUAAGAAAAAUUAAAAGAAAUGGGCAAAACAAGGCUCACCUAGUCAUAAAGUCCCUAAAGUCAUAACUUAAGUGCAAUUUAAGCAAAGCAAGGUGGCUAAUUGGAAUCGAACAAACAAUGAAAUUGCAAAAGUUAAAACUACCAAGGACCAAGUUGAAGACAUUAUUCAAUUAGUUGGGUCAAAGUAGCAUUAGUUAGAAGCCAAGGGGUCAAAAUGCAAUUUUAGAAAAUUAUUUCAUGCAAUCUUCAUGCAAAGAACGUAGCUUAUAUUCUGCAACAAAGUUUCAGCCAUUUCUAAAGCCUUUUGCACUAUUCUAGCCGUAGCUUGCGUUUCAAUUCAUUGUCUUAAAUGAAACAAAAAUGUAAUCUUCAUCCGAACACAGCCCAACAUCCCAAUCCAACAUCAAACCGCAAUUUCUAGCAAGAAAACAAAGCUAAACAUUUGAAUAUACAAACAGCAAGAGAAAUUCUGCAUUUUUCGACAUAUGAUUUCAGCAAUGAGACUUGCUGCAUUUUCUUUCAACCUCUGAUUUCUAAUCCCAGCUUUGAUUAGAUAUUUUCAACCCAACAUCACCACUUUAGAUUAAGCAAGCAAAAAACUACACAGCCUCCACGAUUCAAACAAGCAAACUCUUAGAAAAAGCAACAUCAUGCGAAAUUCUGGACAGCAUGCUUGAAAAACAAAAGUUUCUGCAAUAAAAAAAAAAACAAAGCUUGCGGCCCUUUGCCAAGCUCAACGCAAUUUUCCAGGUUCACAGCUUCAAACUAGGCAAUAUACUACAUCAUUAACAUCAUCCUAGCAAACAGAAAUCUUAGCAACAUCCCACGCAAAAAAAAUCCAGGCAAUUAUGCAAGCAUUUGAUGAACUAAACUAAUGCAACCUUUCUAGUUUUACCCUCCAAAACCAGAUUUCAUAGCCAAGCAUAUGCACUUUUGGACCAUAAAAUCCUUAUGUUUAAGCACAAUAAAUUGAACAAAAACUGUAUAAGUAUCGAAGAACAACAUUCUGUAAUUUGGAAGCAGAAAAAUUCAUGUCAAACUUCGAACCAAAACCAGCAGACCCAUCACUCGAAACCUUUAACAAGCUGAACAUUUUGAUGAACGCAAACCAGUUGCAAAACCAAACCAUUAAAAACCAAACGAGGAACCCAACGAAUAGCACAGAAACAACAACCAGAUUUCUGGAUUUUAUCUUUAAGAAAUUAUCCUAACAAAAGGAUCGGCAAAUUAAGCUAACAUGGAGGAACCAGAAAUGAAUUCCGAUUUGAAAGCGUAGACAGCAACAAUAAACAGAAAGAAAAAUCAAAAUGACGAUUCAACAAAGAACAAAAAGGAAAGGGACUAAGACACCAAUCUAGGAGAGUACUUGCCCAAACGUUUUUGGAUCAAAAUCUGGACAGGAAACGUCAUGAAAGAGCGGCCGAAGCUGUCCCGUUCGGCUCCGAAACCGCACCAGCAAAAUUAAGCAGCGAUCUUUGGGGGCGAAUUCAAAGGAUCAUUCGAUGUUUUCUGCCAACAAAUUCUGAACGAAACCUCCUCCCCUUACUUCCUAGUUAGUGCAGAAACUGAGAGUUACUUAAAAGAACCAGAGAUCAAAGAGAAAUCUGAUCCGGAACAUGGCUCAUAGCCGGCCUUUGGUCAGAAAAAUUGCAGCUUUAUCACUUCUGUUCCAAUUUUGUUCGUAGCCUUCUUCUCCUCCGUCCAUUGCUCAUUUCCUCCUUGCUUAUCACGGUUCCUUCCCCAAGCUCUUCCUCUCUCUGCUUUCCUUCUUCCUUCUUCCAGAACCCACGCCGUCAAUCUCUUUCUUUCUACAUCUAUUUGCUUCAGCCGCCACCUUGCCCUUUCUUUUCUUUUUCCUCUCAAAGCUCCUCCUCUCCGUUUUUCUGGUUUCUUUCCUUAGCCCACCGAAGCCUCAGCUCUCCCAUUGCUCUCCCCUCUGUCCAGUUUUGCUCCCGUUUUUUCUUUCCGCUCCCGUUAGCUGCAAAACUCUCCCCACGAUGAAGCUCUCCUUGCGGCUGAUGUCUUCUUUCCUUUUUGUACCAUCUCCCAAUCCCCUAAACCUGCUCUCAAUGGCCAGCAAUCAACCUCCUCUCAGCCCCUUAUCUUAGCCAUCCGAUGGGCAUUGAGGUUGUGCCUCGCACGCUGCAAAAAAAAAAAAAUGCAGCGUGCACGCUGCGGUAAUCUCUUUUUUUUUUUUUUUAUAAAAAGAAUGCAUAUAAAUGAUAAUAAUAAUAAUAACAAAAUGACAGAACCAUGCAAUAAUAAUAAGAACGAAAACAAAUAAAUAAAUAAUAAAAAAAACAAACUAAAUAAAAACGACAAAAUGUCCAUUUUUCAAAUUUUCUACAUUUUCUUUCUUUUCAUUUUCAUUCAUUUUCUUUUUCUCAAAAUAACUUAAUAAAAAUAACUAAAGUGCCCAAAGAUUGAAUAAACAUAUUUUGUGAACAAAUUUUCCCUUUUUUUCUUUUUUUCAUUUCAAGAAUUUCUAUGCUAAAAACUUAAAAAUAAAAAUAAAACUAUAAACUAAAAACUAAAAAUCGAAUAAAACUAGCAUGACAAAUAAAAACUAAAAAUAAACAGUAAAUGAAAUUACACCAAAAAUUUGGUGUCUACAGGUUGAAUUGUCCGGCCAUUGGUGAUUUCAAAAUGAUUGAGAUGCAUUAGUCUAUGAGCUUCUAAAAAUCAAAUUUUGGCCUCAAUUUAUUUAUCGUCUCAAUAGAAGGAAUCAUUUGUGAAUUUCUUCAAAUUACUGUCCUUCACGCAAGGAAUUUUUACCAAUUUUUGAUAAAAUGGCCAAAAAGUGAUUAUUAGAUGCUCAUAUUCCAAAGAUCACUCUAUGAAAAUGAUCGGAUCCUACCUUACCUUGUGCACUACCCCCUUUGGAUGGUACAAAAUGUAAACGUGCAAGUCUCACUGGAUUAAGUAUCCGAGACACAAGGUGGCUUAUUCCUGACACGGGAUCCCCUAAAUGGCAUUCCCUUUCUAGGGUUUAUGCAUGAUGUCAUUUAUUAAAGCGAUGUAAAUAUGUGACAAAUAUGACCUAAGGGACAUAAAUAAUGCAUCGGGGGAAAAAAGGUCUAAAAUGAAAUGUAUUUAUUAAGUAUAAUGACUGAAAUUUAAACAUGUGAGUUAUCUAGUGGAUAGGUCACUAAAAGAGUGCCAAAAGGGCCUCUUAUUGCUAGGGCAUAUGAAUGCAAGCCAAGAAAACAAAAGAAUGGUUAGUGCAAUUGGUAAUACACAUAACAUAUUGGGAGCAAUUAAGAAAAAGAAAUACAAUAAAGCAAGUAAGAGGGGUGGAACCCCUUCCCUCGUGCCUAAUGUGUUUAAAAUAGGGUGAGGCUGACUCUAACCUAGGAAAAUUCUAACAUGGAUGCAUGAGGCUGGGGUUCACUAAUGCAUCUAGACUCGAUAAGGUUUCGGCUCCCAAGCCUUCAGACCUAAAGGCGAAGGGUCAUCACUCCCAGGGCCUUUGAUCGGUGGCUCGAGUGAUCCCUUAGGUAGCGCUAUGGGCGCAGAGCACACCAGCCGCCUACCCAAGGCGCCUACCCAAGGCAAUCGAUCCUAAUCCUACAAGGCGGUGUGGGAAACGCCCACGAAAAAUAAAAUAAAAUGGGAUAAAAGCAAGUAAACGUGCACGUAUGAAGUGUUUUCCUAUUUUGAGGGAAGGGGUUGAGAACCACGAGAGGCUCUAAAGGUGACACACCCCCUCCCAAAUGCAAUGCAAGCGCGAGAUAAACAAGUAAACAUACAUCCAAUCAACCAAUCACACGUACGUGAGUGAGGGAAUAGUUUGAUACGCGCGUGAGGAAAAGGGUCCUAAAAAGGGAAAAUGCAACCCUAAUAUCCACAUGCUAUACAUAAAAAAGGUAGAAAAAAGGAAAAGAACGGCUAAAUCAAAUGCUCGGACCCACUUAGGAAGUCCCCAGUGGAGUCGCCAACUGUCGCGCCCCACUUUUCGAAGAUGAUGAGUUGUGGUGUGUGUGUGGUGUGAGAUGUGAGUGGUGUAAUGGAAUGUGAACGUGUGUAAAUGAAAAGUAAAAGGCCAUGGGACUUGAUAAUGCGACGGUUUGGCCAUAUAAAGUUCAAAAAGGGUUUUUUGUAUCAAAAAUGGAGUCGCCACUUGGUAUAGGGUUAGGGUGUACCAAGUCACCCAAAAAAUGGUUUUUUGUUUUUGAAUAAAAAAAGUAAAUAAACCCUUUUAAAGAACUUUUGGGUCUACGUAACCAAAAAGAGGGAUCGGGGGUCACAUUUGACGAAGGGGAAGGCAAGGAUAAAAAAUCCAAGGCACCCCUUCGACCUAGCCAAGGCUAGUUGCGUGACUUAAACCAAUUUUUCCUAAUUUUUCUACCCAAGGUAUGUAUCGCGUGUUGGAUAUGUCUAUAUGAAUGCAAAACCCUAGACCUAGGGGUAUUGGGGGAAAUUUCUCUUCAAAGGUUGAGUGGUGCCAAUCACAUUAAUUGUGAAGCCCAAUAAUGAUCCUUUGGAGAGGUCACACGUAAUCCUAAAUGACGUAAAAAUGAAUGGGGUGCAUGUCAUGUGAAAAUGUAAGUUUAUGUGAAGUGAGAAAAGUGGAGGUGUGCAAAUGUAUUUACAAGGUAAGGUGAGUAAAGAAUGAUAAUGUGAAAAUAAUAUAAAGUGCAUGUGUGCGAGUGAUAUGGCAUAGAGUGUGAGUAGUUAAAUGAAAACGUGUAAAAGUAGUGUGAAGUGAGAAUGUGGAAAAAGGGUUAGAAUAUAAAGUAAGUGUAUGUGAUAGUGAAUGAAUAGAAUGCAUGAAUCCUAUAGGAAUGCAUCAAGACGGGAACGGGGAGUCCUAACUUUGUGACUUAAUCUUCCCUUUGAUUAGAAGGCGAAACUAGCGUGCUAAGGCUAUCGAGUAGCCACACUCGCUCGUUUCCCUUAUCAGAAGGGGACUCUUCAGGCAAAUGAACCCUAUAACUAGCAUGAAAUGCAAAAAUCCUAAAAUGAGGGGAAAGGGGAAUCGAGGAGCAUGCCAGAUGAUAAAACUAAGGAAAAAUGCAUGAUAUGUAGUGAACAGGCAAAUAAUGCAUUAAUGAAAAACAAAGGAAAAAUCCUAUUGGGUCUAGCGUUGGACUAGCCCUUUCCAUGAAUUCCUAAUGAAAUAAUGAACCACAACUAGCAUUGGACUAGUGUGGUGACGUACAUUCAUCCAUCACAUUUAUUCAGGCUAUGGAAAGCGAGUAGACAUGCCAAACACUUAUAAACACAUAGCACAUAACAUUUUGCAUGCUCGACUAGAUGCAAGGCCCUAGCAAAGCAAAUUAACACGUAGCAACUAAGCAUGCAAGGCACAUGAGACAAUUAAAGCCCUAACUAUUACAUUUGCUAGCUAGGCACAAGUCUUCGAUAGGUCUUCAUUGAAUGCUCCUCCAAGCCUUAUCUAUUACAUUAGGGGGACCCUACUACAAUCUAAAAGGGGGAAAGGGAAUAAAAUAAUUGAAUCCCUAACUAUUACAAGCCAAGAGGUGUACACAUACCCCAUAAAGAAUAAUUUAAAUAAAAAGCAAAAGUAAAUGAAAUAAAUGAAAUAAAUGAAAGGAGUUAAAGGAAUGGCAAGGAAAGCAACG
Molecule: long non-coding RNA, 8645 nt
Filed under: Coffea arabica (coffee)
Lineage: Eukaryota; Viridiplantae; Streptophyta; Magnoliopsida; Gentianales; Rubiaceae
Description: long non-coding RNA (CARA_LNC005662)
Source: RNAcentral